RNAcentral lists this ribosomal RNA (422 nucleotides) under uncultured bacterium. Its description in RNAcentral is "bacterial SSU rRNA". It matches the Rfam family "Bacterial small subunit ribosomal RNA", at positions 355 to 774 of the family's 1533-position model. The record is from RNAcentral.
UAAGGAAUAUUGGACAAUGGAGGCAACUCUGAUCCAGCCAUGCCGCGUGAAGGAAUAAGGCCCUAUGGGUUGUAAACUUCUUUUAGACGGGACAAAACCCCUUUACGUGUAAAGGGUUGAUGGUACUGUCAGAAUAAGCAUCGGCUAACUUCGUGCCAGCAGCCGCGGUAAUACGAAGGAUGCAAGCGUUAUCCGGAAUUAUUGGGUUUAAAGGGUGCGUAGGCGGACUAAUAAGUCAGUGGUGAAAGCCUGCAGCUUAACUGCAGAAUUGCCAUUGAUACUGUUAGUCUUGGGUACAGUUGAGGUAGGCGGAAUGUGUCAUGUAGCGGUGAAAUGCUUAGAUAUGACACAGAACACCGAUUGCGAAGGCAGCUUGCUAAGCUGUAACUGACGCUGAGGCACGAAAGCGUGGGGAGCAAACA